UUCCUGCGGUGGUCGUAGUACUUUUUCUCCGCCACCCAGCUGUCCACCACCAUCCUCGGUGUCACUCCGCUUCCGCUGGCCCACAUCUGAUUUCCUCCGUAUUUGUUGUUUGUCAGGUUGGCAAAUUCGCACUUCAGUUUAUUCCCCUGCAUCCUCGCCAUCCUACUGGCGGCGGCCAUAAGAGACCGGUUCCAGGUCAGAGGACCUACUCCUACAACACCUCUCGCUUGAUUGUGUGCUUCCAGAAACUCUCUAGCAUCUGUCGUCAGCGACAGUGGCGGUGUAGCAGAGACGUUGGAUAAGGCGAGGAUAAUCAUCAGAAGAGGGAGGAUUGUGAUUGUGGAAGAAGCCAUUUUCAGGUUUGUAUUUUUCUUUCUCUAUGUUGUGCUUUAGGUUUGGGGAAUCAAGUCAAUGUGCACGUUCGUUCAAUUUAUAUGAUUGCGGAUAAUGGGUUAAGAUUCAUCAUUAACCCUCUUUCAAUAAUUCGAGUAAUUAAGAUAUAAUAAUUUAUGAUUUGCUAUAAGAGUAUUUUUAGAUCAAACGAUUGUAUGUUCAAAUUAAUUCCACAAUUUCAACAGUAAGCACUAAGUAUAUUAGAUUAGUGUAAAUUUCAAGCUCAUAAGUUGGUUUUCGUUGGAGGGAGGGGUGUGUGGGAAAAUGGUAUAAAAUCCAUCAUUUAUUCUUUCAUAAUAACUUAAUAAACCACUUGAGUUAUUAAGAUGUAACGUUUCAUGACACACUUAGGUGUGUUUAAGCCUUCAAGGGUGGAUAUUCGAUUACUUAUUCUCUUUUUUUUUUCAUUGCUUGUUUUGCCAUGGUAGGUUAGAUUUAAUGUGUUAUCAGAUUAGAGAUGAUGUUAAUGCAAGGAUGAUCUUUUGAAAGUAUAUAGUUAGACAAGAUUUGGAUGUUUACGGGUAUUUGAAUUUGUUUGUUGACAGAUGCUUAAUUCAAUUUUUUGUUAUGGCUUGCUUGAAUGAAUAUUGAGAUGUUAACACAUGACCAUAUGAAUUAUUAGUUUGCUAUUGGUAAGUAACAGAUAAGUUAUUAAAUUAAUGGUUUUUGUGGAUCUCUCUUGUCUUGAUUACAGAGGUCCUCACUUUACACUAUAAGAAAAGAAAUGAUUGAAGAAACAAGAGCUGCAUCUGAUCUCUACUGACUUCUUAUGGUAAGACAAGAUUCAAGAUCCCAAGUGGCCCAUACAAGCUCUACAUGCAUCACCGUUGAGCUCUGCACCUAUAAAUUGUCAGCUCCACAACCUCACAAAGCAUCGAUCGAGUGAGUUGAUCCCAUACUGGGAGUUGCCACAUCGGGCAGUGGGGUUCGAGAGUAGAAGCAAUCUAGCGGGGAGCUUUGAUUGUUGUAUUGCGGAGACUAAUAUACAUUCUUCUACUUCUUAUAUCCUUUGUGUUUGGUAUUGGUUAGUUCAUCAAUAAGAUCAAACAUUCUCUGGGUAACCUGGUUAGUAGGUUUGCGCACUAAGUUACUAUCCCAGUUCGCUUGUUUUAGAUAAAGAUUUGAAAUUUGUUAGGCGACAAAACAAAUGAGAAUUGUUCACAUGAUGGAUUAGUUUAUUCGUUCCCAUAUGAGAGUACCAGAUAUGCAAACUUUUUC
This 1611-nucleotide long non-coding RNA is filed under the name Linum usitatissimum (flax). Its description in RNAcentral is "long non-coding RNA (LUSI_LNC008132)". The record is from RNAcentral. Lineage: Eukaryota; Viridiplantae; Streptophyta; Magnoliopsida; Malpighiales; Linaceae.